UCCUUCAUGCAACACCUGAAAAUCCUGGGGCGAAUCAAACAGCAAAUUAAAGCUCAAAAAACUCUCACCUGCAAAACAUGUAUAAGGAACUCAUUUUAAUGCUUUCAGGCUGAAAUCACUGGGACAAGAGCCCAAAAAGAAUGACAAAGGUAUCUUGCAACAACAUGGAACAAAAAGACGCUAUUUAGGAGGAGAAGUUUCCCCCCCACCACCCACUUUGGGAAAAGCUCAUAACAGUAACUGAAAACUUUCCUUGCCCUUUGAAGCCCCAUGAAGUCUUUGUAUGAUCAAUAUUUUAGAUAAUGACUAUCACAAGUUCUUAUGGGCAACUGAAGGAGC
Long non-coding RNA from Malaclemys terrapin pileata, 339 nucleotides. RefSeq lists it as uncharacterized. The record is from RefSeq and is a predicted model, not a curated record. The transcript is spliced from 3 exons. Lineage: Eukaryota; Metazoa; Chordata; Testudines; Emydidae.